This 439-nucleotide ribosomal RNA is filed under the name Kluyveromyces marxianus. RNAcentral describes it as "LSU rRNA". It matches the Rfam family "Eukaryotic large subunit ribosomal RNA", at positions 127 to 576 of the family's 3401-position model. The record is from RNAcentral. Lineage: Eukaryota; Fungi; Ascomycota; Saccharomycetes; Saccharomycetales; Saccharomycetaceae.
GUCUUCGACGUCCGAGUUGUAAUUUGAAGAAGGCGACUUUGUAGCUGGUCCUUGUCUAUGUUCCUUGGAACAGGACGUCAUAGAGGGUGAGAAUCCCGUGUGGCGAGGAUCCCAGUUAUUUGUAAAGUGCUUUCGACGAGUCGAGUUGUUUGGGAAUGCAGCUCUAAGUGGGUGGUAAAUUCCAUCUAAAGCUAAAUAUUGGCGAGAGACCGAUAGCGAACAAGUACAGUGAUGGAAAGAUGAAAAGAACUUUGAAAAGAGAGUGAAAAAGUACGUGAAAUUGUUGAAAGGGAAGGGCAUUUGAUCAGACAUGGCGUUUGCUUCGGCUUUCGCUGGGCCAGCAUCAGUUUUAGCGGUUGGAUAAAUCCUCGGGAAUGUGGCUCUGCUUCGGUAGAGUGUUAUAGCCCGUGGGAAUACAGCCAGCUGGGACUGAGGAUUG